UCAGUGUAAUGAUCCAGCAAACAACGAGACAGUGCUUAUUCCUACAACCCAGAAUGUCAAAAUUAAUGCCACUAAGAUGUUUAUGCGAAGCUGUUCUCAUGCUGACUUCCAUAGUGUAAAGAACAGCCUACCUUGCCUCUCCGAUUCUAGUUUCGGAGACAGUGAAGCCUCAAAUUUGGUGAGAAAUGAAAAGGUUGUUGAAGGCAUCCUAGUGAUGGAGAAAACCAAAACUGCAAAGAUUGUCUGUGAAGACGAGUUUCUGCAGACAUUGCAUGUGGAGGAACACAAAGUUCAGUUUGAAUACUCUUGCCCUGCAGAAAAGUGCAGGGAGCAAGUAUCCUGUCAAUCAAACAGCGGACCGCCACCGUCCGAUGGGAACUUUUCAGAGACGUGCUAGACUACAGCAUUCAAUAGCAAAUGAUACAUUGAGUGAGCCACAUUCUGCUUCACUUAUUACUGGCUAAAAGGAGAAACCGUGUCAAUUGCAAACAUACCAGCUAUGCUUCUGACUCUCUCGAGCUAGAUUAUGUACUUGUUCUAAUGAAUAUUUUCUUACAUGACCAGAAAGGGGGAAAAACAGUUCAGGUAGAUUAGCAAUAUAACUCUUCUGUACUUGGGCACCACUCACUAGUUGAUGAAAAGCUGGUCAGAGAUCUCAAUCAUGAGACAUGGAUUUGAGUGUCUCGAGUCGACUCACUUGGCACAUAAGCUGCAUAGAAAUGAUUGGUCUCUGCAGUGAAACCUUUUAUAUCAACCAAGCCAUGUUACACUGAUACUAAUUGUUACGAAAAGGUGGAAUGAUUUAUGACUGAAGCUUUUACUAAGCCGAGGGAGCCAAUUGAGAUUUUGUUCACCUUGUGGAGUGCGAAUUCUGUGGAUGGAAGUAUAAUGACACCCCCCUCUCUCUCUCUCUCUCUCUCUCUCUCUUUUGGUGGUGGGUUGGUGUUGUUGGUGUGGUUGGAGGAAAACAUCUGUUUUGUACCAUGGCAAGUGUGGGCAAACUAAUAUAUUCAUGUUGAAAUAGGAGACACAUGGACUCGGUUGAUAUAUGUAUACAUUUGAUUAUGAUUAGCCCUCGUUUGAAUGGUUUAGCUGAAUGAUGGGCUGAUUCUAACUAUUUUAUUCCACUGAUGUAUAAAGAUAUUCUGGGCGCAGCAAUUCUCCCAAUA
Phoenix dactylifera (date palm) is the source of this 1169-nucleotide non-coding RNA. The record is from RefSeq and is a predicted model, not a curated record. NCBI's taxonomy places the organism in Eukaryota, Viridiplantae, Streptophyta, Magnoliopsida, Arecales, Arecaceae.